UACGAAGGGGGCUAGCGUUGUUCGGAAUUACUGGGCGUAAAGCGCGCGCAGGCGGUUCUCCAAGUCAGUGGUGAAAGCCCGGAGCUCAACUCCGGAACUGCCAUUGAAACUGUUGAACUUGAGGACGAGAGAGGUGAGUGGAAUUCCCAGUGUAGAGGUGAAAUUCGUAGAUAUUGGGAAGAACACCAGUGGCGAAGGCGGCUCACUGGCUCGUAUCUGACGCUCAGGCGCGAUAGCGUGGGGAUCGAACAGG
RNAcentral lists this ribosomal RNA (253 nucleotides) under uncultured bacterium. RNAcentral's name for it is "partial 16S ribosomal RNA". It matches the Rfam family "Bacterial small subunit ribosomal RNA", at positions 524 to 776 of the family's 1533-position model. The record is from RNAcentral.